This 1226-nucleotide long non-coding RNA is filed under the name Callithrix jacchus (white-tufted-ear marmoset). RNAcentral's name for it is "lncRNA (ENSCJAG00000054641.2)". The record is from RNAcentral. Lineage: Eukaryota; Metazoa; Chordata; Mammalia; Primates; Cebidae.
AUUUUCUGCCUUCAUGGCUAUCUAUUAUCUAUCUAUCUGUUAUGAAGACAGCAAACCAGCCAUGGCAUGUGAGUACCUAUACAGCAAUCCUGCAAGAUCUGCACAUGUACCCCAGAACUUAAACUACAAUUCAAAAAAAAUAAAAAAAGAAAAAUAAAUAAAUAAAGAGAUUCUAGAUGAUCCAUGCACUUAUCCAAAAAGUAGAGGUAGACAUAGACAAAAGUGUUGUUUCCUUCUAUUCCACGCUAUCAAAAGCUACUGUCUCAAAUCUUAGGACUUAUCUUUGAUUACACUGCACUGUUGGCUUUUGAUCUAACUGUUGGUUUUCACUUUCAAUUUUCCAGUCUGAGGAUCCUGUCUUUCUACUUGGUGUUGCUGGUAAUGAUUUCAGUGUUCGUUAGGAGAACUGGUGCUGUGAAUCAGAAACAAAGAGAAGAAACACAGGUUCUACAAUGAACAUAUAUUACCAUUAUAAUACAAAUAGUGAUAAAUAAAAAAACAACACGGUAAGAGUCUCCAUAUGGACACCAGCUUUGCCUCCCUCCUUGAUGAAUCCUCCACUGAUUCCUCAAGCCUACAAUAUUCCCUCCCAGCUGAUUCCUUCAGCAGACAGCCACAAGCUCUGACUCAAAGAUGGUUUGUUGCAAAUCAGCUAGUUUAAGUAAAAGGGAUUUCUCAUAAAGACAGAUAAGAAGCAGGACACAUUUUAGGAUCUCAUCAACAGGAGUCCUUGGAUUUUAUUUAUUACUCUUAUGGUAGCCUGACUCAGCAUCCAGCUUCCUUAGUGCCUAUGUUAUUAGUUUAAGUUCUUGAACAUGUCACUGUGACUGGCCAUACAAUGGAUUGGCUGCACCUGUGUUGGUAACCAACCUGGCCCAUCACCUGUGGCUGGCUGGCUAGCUGAGAUUAAAGAAACUGUUGUUUUAUAGUGUAGAGAGUUAGGAAAAUCUACUCUCUCUGGGCUAGACUAUAUUGAGAUUUCUUUAUUUUCAAUAAGACGGAAAUUUCACUACAGCGUGAAACAAGUCAAGCAAUCACAUAACCUGCGUUCCCUAUCAAAUGCACCCUCUGAGCAAUAUCUAAGUAUUACUCUACUGUUUUUCAACCUCUGCCUGAAUGAAAAAAAUCUUCAUUUUUCCUUGGACUUGGGCACUCUUCCAAUGACUGGAAGCAGACUACCAAAGGGUUACCUUGGUGCUAGAGUCUCAGCUUUGAUGUCACCCUAA